GAAAAGACAUCAUCCUCUUCUAUAAUCUCCAUCUGUAAUUGGACUAACAACUGGACCAGUGAAUGCAGGCAACUUACUCUCCAUUCGACCUUGCAGGUCACACCAUGGUCUCAAGAGGGAAAAUGAGUGCUCUAUGGAUUGAACAGAAAAGAUUAAUCAAAACUCCAACCAUCUGUAUGAGGGUCUGGAUGGAUAAAGGAUGCCCACUGGAGCUGGAAAUGAUGGAUCAGGUGGAUCCACACUUGAACCAUCUGUAUGAUGAUCUGCACCCACUGGAUCUGUAAAUGGUGGUGCAGGUUUCUGAAUUGAUGUCAGAUGCAAAGCAGAAGCUUAUUUUCUGCCAGUUUGGCUUCAUUGUGGAAAAAUGCUUGAAACUAAAAUGCAGAAUUCUGGCCUGGUGUUUGGUCCCCCUUUCUCUGGCUUGUGUCUCCAUCAUCAUUACACUCUUGUCAGUGUAAUAGUAUCGUCGUCUGCGUACCAGGACUUUGUUACUCAGCUGUCCCUUCUCCUUCAAGCUACAUUUUUGUCAAGCUGCAACAAGUUGGAAUACAUAAUUAUUAACGUUUAAUGAUUUUGAUGUAUGAAAUAUGUAACAAAAGCAAAAAAUGUAUAGACAUUCUAUUAAGAAAUUACCUUUUUGUUGUUUGUUUACUGACCUUUCAACCAUAUUGCAUUUAUAAUUGAUCAUCAUACCUUUGGUCUACUGUUAACAGGCUACUGUAGAAAACAAAGUCAAACAAAAAAGAGAGAAAAAAUUAUAAAUGCUGAAUGUGUCUCAUCUUAAA
Long non-coding RNA from Paramisgurnus dabryanus, 785 nucleotides. RefSeq lists it as uncharacterized. NCBI's taxonomy places the organism in Eukaryota, Metazoa, Chordata, Actinopteri, Cypriniformes, Cobitidae. The record is from RefSeq and is a predicted model, not a curated record.